Long non-coding RNA from Pseudophryne corroboree (corroboree frog), 746 nucleotides. RefSeq lists it as uncharacterized. The transcript has 3 exons. NCBI's taxonomy places the organism in Eukaryota, Metazoa, Chordata, Amphibia, Anura, Myobatrachidae. The record is from RefSeq and is a predicted model, not a curated record.
GGAGAGACAGUUGGUGCGUGUGCAGCGGAAAGGACGGAGGAGGUGUAAGUAGGCAGCGAUGGUGAUGACAAGCGGAGGAAAGGAUCGGUGAGCUCCGAAACUGUGAAAUCACCCAGAGCAGACGAUACAGGAGAAGCGAGGAACUUACCAUUCACUGCCAAGCAGAGACACCAUCUAUUGUGCUGAGCUCCUGGAGAGAGCAGAGAGAGGAGCAGAUUGUAGCUGAGAGCCGGUGGCCGCCCUCUUGUGAGUCACAGUGAUGCGGAAGGAGGAGGUAACAAGGCCAUAUAAAAGGAUGAACAAGUGAGAGGAGAGCAGGAAGCACAUACUAGUGCUUCAGGUGCUGCCACCAGUUGUGACGAUACAUGUCUAUCAAUGUCAUCUACUAAGGCUGAUGCCCAAGUGCAUAGAGGGCUUAAGUCACGGGUGAUGAGGUUGGAAUAUAACAAAAAAAGGGGGAUGUCAGUGUGGAAGUAAGAAGAUAUAGAAGAAUGCCAUAUGGAUCACUUGAAGUCAAAUUCUGCUGGUAAAACGUGAUCAAUUGUACAGCCAAAUGUGUAAAUAUGCAGAUUAUCCAUGGAACAGUCUGAAAAUGUUUCUCAGCUCUACAGUAUGUUGAUAGUUUGCAAUUUGAUUAUUUAUGGGUUCUUUACUAUGAGUUUUUGAAUGUAAUGUUUCUCAUCAGACACUCCAUCCAACCUUCUAAAAAUGUACCCUGCUCACCUCAUAAAUAUAUAUGGCUUUCA